This 305-nucleotide ribosomal RNA is filed under the name uncultured bacterium. RNAcentral's name for it is "partial 16S ribosomal RNA". It matches the Rfam family "Bacterial small subunit ribosomal RNA", at positions 335 to 655 of the family's 1533-position model. The record is from RNAcentral.
ACGGCCUACGGGGGGCAGCAGUGGGGAAUAUUGCACAAUGGGGGGAACCCUGAUGCAGCGACGCCGCGUGGGUGAAGAAGUCAUUCGGUAUGUAAAGCUCUAUCAGCAGGGAAGAAAAAAGACGGUACCUGACUAAGAAGCCCCGGCUAACUACGUGCCAGCAGCCGCGGUAAUACGUAGGGGGCGAGCGUUAUCCGGAUUCACUGGGUGUAAAGGGAGCGUAGACGGCCAUGCAAGCCAGGGGUGAAAGCCCGGGGCCCAACCCCGGGACUGCCCUUGGAACUGCAUGGCUGGAGUGCGGGAGG